UGCCGGGGUGGGGGAAUUGGCAGACCCGCCGCACUUAAAAUGCGGUGUCAUUGUGACGUACGGGUUCGAGUCCCGUUCUCGGUAU
RNAcentral lists this transfer RNA (85 nucleotides) under compost metagenome. RNAcentral's name for it is "tRNA-Leu". It matches the Rfam family "tRNA". From Rfam's summary of the family: Transfer RNA (tRNA) molecules are approximately 80 nucleotides in length. Their secondary structure includes four short double-helical elements and three loops (D, anti-codon, and T loops). The record is from RNAcentral.